Molecule: long non-coding RNA, 750 nt
Filed under: Elaeis guineensis (African oil palm)
Lineage: Eukaryota; Viridiplantae; Streptophyta; Magnoliopsida; Arecales; Arecaceae
Description: long non-coding RNA (EGUI_LNC046261)
Source: RNAcentral
CCCUGUCCAAAUUUGUGCUGGAUAAGCUAGGAUAUAUAAACUGGUGUAUUGGAAUACGGUUCUGACCAAAGAUUGAUGAACAGUGCUGAACCAGCCAGUUUGAGGUAUAUCGUUUUGGACCAUCUGGUUAUCCGCAUGAUUCAAAGGCUUCAAACGGGUUACAUAUAAAGCCCAGUGCCCUAGCCUGCCAGUACAAGUCCCUUUGCUUUGAAAGUAUCAAAACCCUCCGUCCUUAAAUCAAAACCCUCGAUGCAUUGUGCCCUUGAAAUGCUCUCUAAAUAAAUAAAUAAAUAAAUAAGAGGCAAAAAAAGGUUCAAAGCUAGAGGCCCCUUUGAAAACCUCAGGCCUCCAUCCCCCUUCAGAACCCUCUAGAUACUCUCGCUCCUUCCCUCCUCUCUUGUUCUCUUACUCAGUCUUUGUUGCUGGCCUCCGCUCCCCUUCAAAGUUUUGGGGAGAUUCCUCUCUCUCCCCCCUCCUAUAGGCUCAGGUGUGAUGCUCUCAAGCCUCAGAUGGUCAAGAGAAAGGCCAUGGUUUGAAGUCCAUGAAGCAUUCAUGGAGGUAUUAGGACUGUUUUGGGCCCUAGGGUGGAGGCAGUUAGCUCUCUAUGGUCUUGAGGCCUAGGAGACAUGGGUCUUGAGGGUCUAAUCCACUUUUGGACUAGGUUUGGAUCCAAGAAGGAUGAAAGCACAUAAGACAUGGGUGUACAUAGGCUUGGAUGAGUGCAAUCACAUAUGGUUUAGCCAUUGAGAG